This 462-nucleotide ribosomal RNA is filed under the name uncultured bacterium. Its description in RNAcentral is "partial 16S ribosomal RNA". It matches the Rfam family "Bacterial small subunit ribosomal RNA", at positions 28 to 507 of the family's 1533-position model. The record is from RNAcentral.
GACGAACGCUGGCGGCGUGCUUAACACAUGCAAGUCGAACGGAAAGGCCCUUCGGGGUACUCGAGUGGCGAACGGGUGAGUAACACGUGGGUGAUCUGCCCUGCACUUUGGGAUAAGCCUGGGAAACUGGGUCUAAUACCGGAUAGGACCACGGCAUUCAUGUGCUGUGGUGGAAAGCUUUUGCGGUGUGGGAUGGGCCCGCGGCCUAUCAGCUUGUUGGUGGGGUAAUGGCCUACCAAGGCGACGACGGGUAGCCGGCCUGAGAGGGUGACCGGCCACACUGGGACGGAGAUACGGCCCAGACUCCUACGGGAGGCAGCAGUGGGGAAUAUUGCACAAUGGGCGCAAGCCUGAUGCAGCGACGCCGCGUGAGGGAUGACGGCCUUCGGGUUGUAAACCUCUUUCGCCAGGGACGAAGCGCAAGUGACGGUACCUGGAGAAGAAGGACCGGCCAACUACGUG